This 1310-nucleotide ribosomal RNA is filed under the name uncultured bacterium. RNAcentral describes it as "bacterial SSU rRNA". It matches the Rfam family "Bacterial small subunit ribosomal RNA", at positions 25 to 1328 of the family's 1533-position model. The record is from RNAcentral.
CAGGAUGAACGCUAGCUACAGGCUUAACACAUGCAAGUCGAGGGGCAGCAUUUCAGUUUGCUUGCAAACUGGAGAUGGCGACCGGCGCACGGGUGAGUAACACGUAUCCAACCUGCCGAUAACUCCGGGAUAGCCUUUCGAAAGAAAGAUUAAUACCGGAUGGCAUAUGAUUAUCGCAUGAUAAUCCUAUUAAAGAAUUUCGGUUAUCGAUGGGGAUGCGUUCCAUUAGUUUGUUGGCGGGGUAACGGCCCACCAAGACUUCGAUGGAUAGGGGUUCUGAGAGGAAGGUCCCCCACAUUGGAACUGAGACACGGUCCAAACUCCUACGGGAGGCAGCAGUGAGGAAUAUUGGUCAAUGGGCGAUGGCCUGAACCAGCCAAGUAGCGUGAAGGAUGACUGCCCUAUGGGUUGUAAACUUCUUUUAUAAAGGAAUAAAGUCGGGUAUGCAUACCCGUUUGCAUGUACUUUAUGAAUAAGGAUCGGCUAACUCCGUGCCAGCAGCCGCGGUAAUACGGAGGAUCCGAGCGUUAUCCGGAUUUAUUGGGUUUAAAGGGAGCGUAGAUGGAUGUUUAAGUCAGUUGUGAAAGUUUGCGGCUCAACCGUAAAAUUGCAGUUGAUACUGGAUGUCUUGAGUGCAGUUGAGGCAGGCGGAAUUCGUGGUGUAGCGGUGAAAUGCUUAGAUAUCACGAAGAACUCCGAUUGCGAAGGCAGCCUGCUAAGCUGCAACUGACAUUGAGGCUCGAAAGUGUGGGUAUCAAACAGGAUUAGAUACCCUGGUAGUCCACACGGUAAACGAUGAAUACUCGCUGUUUGCGAUAUACGGCAAGCGGCCAAGCGAAAGCGUUAAGUAUUCCACCUGGGGAGUACGCCGGCAACGGUGAAACUCAAAGGAAUUGACGGGGGCCCGCACAAGCGGAGGAACAUGUGGUUUAAUUCGAUGAUACGCGAGGAACCUUACCCGGGCUUGAACUGCAGGAGAACGAAUCAGAGAUGAUGAGGCCCUUCGGGGCUCCUGUGGAGGUGCUGCAUGGUUGUCGUCAGCUCGUGCCGUGAGGUGUCGGCUUAAGUGCCAUAACGAGCGCAACCCCUGUUGCCAGUUGCCAUCGGGUAGAGCCGGGCACUCUGGUGAGGCUGCCGCCGCAAGGCGUGAGGAAGGUGGGGAUGACGUCAAAUCAGCACGGCCCUUACGUCCGGGGCUACACACGUGUUACAAUGGGGCAUACAGCGAGUUGGUGUUACGCAAGUAAUAUCGGAUCAAAAAAGUGUCCCUCAGUUCGGACUGGGGUCUGCAACCCGACCCCACGAAGCUG